GAUGAACGCUAGCGGCAGGCCUAAUACAUGCAAGUCGAACGGCAAGUUUCCUUCGGGAGACCUAGAGUGGCGGACGGGUGCGUAACGCGUAUGCAACUUACCCUCUACAGGGGGAUAGCCCGGGGAAACCCGGAUUAAUAUCCCAUGGCAUCAUAAAUUCGCAUGUUUUUAUGAUUAAAGAUUUAUCGGUAGAGGAUGGGCAUGCGUGCCAUUAGCUAGUUGGUAGUGUAACGGACUACCAAGGCGACGAUGGCUAGGGGGUCUGAGAGGAUGAUCCCCCACACUGGCACUGAGACACGGGCCAGACUCCUACGGGAGGCAGCAGUAGGGAAUAUUGGUCAAUGGGCGAGAGCCUGAACCAGCCAUGCCGCGUGAAGGAUGAAGGCGUUCUGCGUUGUAAACUUCUUUUAUAGGGGAAGAAAAAGGGGGUGCGCCCCCAAUUGACGGUACCCUAUGAAUAAGCACCGGCUAACUCCG
This 477-nucleotide ribosomal RNA is filed under the name uncultured Flammeovirgaceae bacterium. RNAcentral describes it as "bacterial SSU rRNA". It matches the Rfam family "Bacterial small subunit ribosomal RNA", at positions 28 to 505 of the family's 1533-position model. The record is from RNAcentral. Lineage: Bacteria; Pseudomonadati; Bacteroidota; Cytophagia; Cytophagales; Flammeovirgaceae.